RNAcentral lists this unclassified non-coding RNA (395 nucleotides) under soil metagenome. RNAcentral's name for it is "partial contains 5.8S ribosomal RNA, internal transcribed spacer 2, and large subunit ribosomal RNA". The stretch from base 1 to 120 matches the Rfam family "5.8S ribosomal RNA", at positions 35 to 154 of the family's 154-position model. The record is from RNAcentral.
GAUGAAGAACGCAGCGAAAUGCGAUAAGUAAUGUGAAUUGCAGAAUUCAGUGAAUCAUCGAAUCUUUGAACGCACCUUGCGCUCCUAGGUAUUCCGAGGAGCAUGCCUGUUUGAGUGUCAUUAAAUUCUCAACCAUUAUCAACUUUUGCUGAUAAUGGCUUGGAUGUGGGGGUCUAUUUUGCUGGCUUCUCAGAUAGUCAGCUCCCCUUAAAUGCAUUAGCCGGUGCCCCGCGUGGACUGUCUAUUGGUGUGAUAAUUAUCUACGCUAUAGACAUCUGCAAUCAUAUGGGUUUGCGCUGCUUCUAACAGUCUGUUGAUUCAGACAAUACAUGACAAUUUGACCUCAAAUCAGGUAGGACUACCCGCUGAACUUAAGCAUAUCAAUAAGCGGAGGA